CCUACGGGAGGCAGCAGUGAGGAAUAUUGGUCAAUGGACGAGAGUCUGAACCAGCCAUGCCGCGUGCAGGAAGACGGCUCUAUGAGUUGUAAACUGCUUUUGUACAAGAGUAAACCUGGGUACGUGUAUUCUACUGAACGUACUGUACUGAUAAGGAUCGGCUAACUCCGUGCCAGCAGCCGCGGUAAUACGGAGGAUCCGAGCGUUAUCCGGAUUUAUUGGGUUUAAAGGGUGUGUAGGCGGAUUGAUAAGUUAGAGGUGAAAUGUCCGAGCUUAACUCGGGAACUGCCUCUAAUACUGGUGAUCUAGAGAGUAGAUGCGGUAGGCGGAAUGUAUGGUGUAGCGGUGAAAUGCUUAGAGAUCAUACAGAACACCGAUUGCGAAGGCAGCUUACUAAUCUAUAUCUGACGUUGAGGCACGAAAGCGUGGGGAGCAAACAGGAUUAGAUACCCUUGUAGUC
This 460-nucleotide ribosomal RNA is filed under the name uncultured bacterium. Its description in RNAcentral is "partial 16S ribosomal RNA". It matches the Rfam family "Bacterial small subunit ribosomal RNA", at positions 338 to 795 of the family's 1533-position model. The record is from RNAcentral.